Sphaerodactylus townsendi is the source of this 336-nucleotide long non-coding RNA. RefSeq lists it as uncharacterized. The transcript has 3 exons. The record is from RefSeq and is a predicted model, not a curated record. Lineage: Eukaryota; Metazoa; Chordata; Lepidosauria; Squamata; Sphaerodactylidae.
CGAAAAGGCCUGCGGGGGACUGACUGGGAGCGGCAGAGGCGCUGGCGGGGGGACCGCGGAGCGUCCCUGUCGUUUGGCGCCACCGGGGACUCUUGCCCGGCAGAGGGCGCGAUGCUGCUACGCCUGAGCUCCCACUUUGACCCGCAGAAGGAUGCGGCGUCCUGGCUGGCGAGGCAACCCCUGGCCGCCGCCGCUGAUGCUGAGACUUUUUUGGAGAGUUUGAAAACACUACACACAGUAAACAUUGAAAGAAAUGGAAAUAUUAUUUACACCUGGAAGGGUACUUGGGGACACACUUAUAUUGGACUGUAUGAUCCCAGCAACCAGACAAAUGAG